This is a long non-coding RNA of Mauremys mutica (yellowpond turtle), 2071 nucleotides long. RefSeq lists it as uncharacterized. Lineage: Eukaryota; Metazoa; Chordata; Testudines; Geoemydidae. The transcript is spliced from 3 exons. The record is from RefSeq and is a predicted model, not a curated record.
AGCCAGACCCACUCAUGCUCACCGAGUGCCUGUUCUGGCUGGGACUGGCACUGACUCUCACUGAGGGGGGCUGGCUGGUCUUCAGAGCCCGAGCUCCAGCCCACACUGCAACAUCCACUCUGCUACUGUCAGCACGCUCGCUGGAGUCUGGCUGGCACAUGCCUGCCACCCUGGGCUGGGAGCAAGCAACUGGAGCCAGCGACCGGACAGUCAGCACCCAAAGGGGAAAGGGGGCAGCAGGCAUUUGAGAGUUCAUGCCUCCCAGAAUGGCAUUAGCCUUUAGCCACAGCAUCACACUGGGAGCUCGUGUUCAGCUGAUUAUCCACCAGGACCCGCAAAUCCCCACCCAGAGUCUGGGCAAGCAAAGGAGAAGCUGGCUGCAGGAUGUUUGGAUCACAAGAAACCUCCAAUCAACAUCCUCAGGUGAGCAGAGACAAGGGCUGUCUUGGAGGUGGCAGUUUGCUGUGAGAGAAGGGCCAAGACACACAACAGGAUCCUUACCAUGGCACCUCCAGCCCUUUCAGUUAAGAGCAGAGAAAGUUCCCAACUAUAGCACUGUGUCAUCCAAGGAGUUCUCCAGCAAAAACAGGAAGAUUGAUGUUCCUGACAACAACAAAUAUCAAACCCUUCCAGACCGCCACUGUAUACCAUAAAGAAGCAAACUAAAAGGGCACAAACACAGGUCAUCUUGAUGGGAGAAUCUUGUGGCUAUGAGUUAAACUGAAGUCUGGUCAAAAUGAGAAACAGCCUUUCAUGGUUAAUGAAGGCUGUGGUUUGUUCAAUAGGCUCUAAGUGAAAUAAUAUAUUAAGUGGUGAAAUCCAAGAAUAAUCUACCUCCACUGAAGCCAGAUGAGCAAAACCCAACACAGUUUCAUCUACCACAAUGUAGCAAUAAUAAAUAUUUGAUAAUGCACAUCAUACAGAGCUGAUCAAAGGUUUGCAUCUGCCUCUACUGCCAUUCAAUGAUAAUACAGGCUGCUUAUUUGUCAUUGCCAAAAUAUGUAUUUUAAGAAGGUGUUGGGGAGCUGAAUUCACCAGGUCCAGGUGCUACUGAGGUCCUUGAAUGGAAAGUGCAGAGGAUUAUUACAGACCAUUCCACUGAUUACAAUGGGGUUGGGAUUAGAGACAAUAUAGGGAUAAAAGGCCAAUCCUGCAAGGUGCUCAGGUGAAAUCAACCUGUUGAUUUCAGUGGGAAAUCAGGGGCACUCUCCACCUGGAAAGAGGAGCAUGGCAGGAGGCCGUUCGUUGUAAUCAGUGGGCUUAACAUCAGCCCAAUCAUCACAUGGCUCUUUUGCAUACUGAAAUUCCAUUGGCUGCAAUGCUUUUACAGUAACUAUAUUAUAUAGUCUUCUGAUGCUAUCCUAGCAGUGCAAUGUCUAAAGUGUUCCAAAGAUGGAUUUUUUCUAUUAAAUAUAUUAUAAUGUUUCCCCUAGAGUAUAAUCCCCUAGAUAUAAUUAUUAUCUAUUACCCAUAUGGUGGAAAGAACAGAAACAAACAGACCAGUCAUUCCCAACCGGUGAUCUGCAGAGCACUUACUGGUGGCUUGUGGAAAGUUGGUUCGUCCCAUGGUGCUUUUCCCUGUUUCCAGCUGCUACACUGCACUAAGAGAACAACCACCACCCCACAUGUUAAUUUUUUAUGCAGGCAAUUACCAUGGUGGUGUUAUGCGAUCCUGAAUGGGAGGGCAGAGGGAACUGGGUGAAUGGGAGGGAAAGUACUCACUAGACAAUCUCUGUAAGAAGGUAUGGCCUGAUCUAUGAAAAGUUUUGAGAGCUUCCCAAAGUAGACAACACUAUCUGCCAGGGAAUAAUCAGAGCCCCACUAUAUACAGCCCAUCAUGAAAAUGAAGAUUCGCACCACACCAGAGAAUUGAUAAGCGGAGGAACUGAGGAUAUCAUCUAUAGACUAAUCUACCUGUUACUAUUUGGAGGUGUGUACACACACCUCCCCCACCUCAGACCAAUCUGAAUAGAUCUGCUGUUUCCUUGGCCUUUAAGUGAAACUUCUCCCCCCACUCUUAGUUCUGUUUCAUUGGCAGCUACAGAAUAAAAGUCAGAUCUGAUGGCUAUGU